GGAAGCAGAGACAUUUAGAAGGUCCCUGUACAACUCAUGCAAGUAUUUUAUUAACGACAAUUUUUAUUCAAAUGUAGCUUUUAAGACCUCGGCCUGCUUUACGGUGAUUUAAAGGGCAUCUGUGAUUUUACCCACCAAGUGUCUUCUGCUGUGUGAAGCGAAUGCUGCAUGGAGUUUACAAGUGCUUCUCUAUGACAUCUGGAUCUCGGAGCUCACAGGGAAAACCACCCUCACCCACCCUGCAGGAGGAGCACAAUGGCACAAUGGCACCCUCUGUUGCCCUGCGCGCUGCUCCCACGUGGAUGUAUGAACUCCUGAAAGUAUCCAUUCCCCAUCUCCAAAUCUCAUCUCUUCCCGCCGAGCUUCCUUGUUUGUUUGGAGUUAUCCUGUUAUUUCCAUUUGUAAUAAAACCCGUCUUGUUCUUUUUGUGCUGAGUGGAGAAACAUCGAGAGGAUUGUCACGCUCAUUUCAUGAACAGUUGGCCUCCUGUCCCCAUUUUGUCCUCCCUAAGUGGCAGCUCCUUGCAACAGUUGUAUUAACAACUGAGCUCAGCCCUGCAAAGUGGUGGGCAUUUCCAGCGUUAACUGGAAAGCAAUUAGUCUUGAUGAGAUUGGGCUGUCCAACUCUCAGACAAUUAAUUAAAUUACAGCUUGUCUUUCAUUUGGUUGAACAAAAACUUGAUUCAUUAAUUAAAAUACACUGUGAAUCUGAUUUUUUGCUCUGAUCCUCUGUGUGUUCGUAAGCAAACAACAAGUUCCUUUUAGGAACCAAAACAAAAUUCCUUCUGGAGCAUGACAAGUUUUCACUCCUAAUCACCUUGUAUCCAUGUGAACACACUUUAAUUGCUCAUUAACACAAAGUUAGCGGGCUGACACACAACUAGCUGCUUCUUUUGGACUUCUCUAACAGUAACUUUUUUGUGUGUGUCUCGUAAGGAGACCAGACGUUUCUCAGAAUCAAUCAACUUUUUCUGUGUUUUACUUCCAUGCCAUGCUGUAAAGGAUUGUACAGUUGCCUCGCUGUAAUGUUAUUAUUCAGGACUGAUUUUACUGUGAUGGCAUAAGAGGAAUUAGACAUGUCCAUUCUAUUGUUGUUGAUAUGACUGUGCCUAUUUUCCCCAUAUGCAGUCUGAAACAAUUAUCAGAAGCAGUACAUAGAACUCAUCACUUAGAAAUGAUUACUUAGAAGUCAUUAGAUGUUGUUAAUGUGAACAGAUUUUUGUAAAAGCCACGUUUUGUGCAGGACUGGUUAUUUUUAGAUAAAAAUAUUUAAACUGAAGAAGAGAUUUCAAUUUUUCAAAUUGUGAUGUACAGGAACUCAGUGAGAAUUAAAAAUCUGACAUAAGAUCCAGUAUAAAAAAAGUAUUUCAGUGCAUCUAUUUGACAAGCACAAAUGGUCUGUAAGUAUGUUGAAUUAUAACAAAAAAUGAGUUGGAAAUAUUUGGGAUACUCUGUCUGUUCAGUUUUAAGCAGCCUUACCUACUGUGCCAAUGACUUACAGUCAGGUUUGGAUUCUGUGUGCUCAUCAUCAGCUUUCAGGAUCCAUGCUACAUUUGCCUCCUUUGAUUCUGCAAAGAUUUUGUCAAGAAAUUGAACUGAAUUUUAUCCCAGGCCUCACAAAUACAACCAUGUUUGACAGUUGUGGGAAAGAAGGGGGUUCGAGCUGCAUCUAUUGUUUGUUCAGAAAUAUCUAAUUUCAUAAGUCAAAUUACUCGUAAUGAUUCCAUACUAAUUUGUUAUUUGAAUCCUUUGCAGGCCUACUUUCUCCCAGAUGAUGGGAGACAAGAGGAAUUGCCUAAGCUUUUGAUACUGUGUAGAUCUCUGCUGAAACACAUUCUGAUUGCUACUGAUCUAGACAUAUCUUUUUUCUUAUAAGCUUAAGCCCGCAAGCUUCAGAAUUUAGCAUAAAAGACCAGCUGUCACCUGAUUUUGUUGUUCUUUUUUUUAGAGAAACAAUUCAAUUUUAGGGGAAAAAAAGGCAACUCAAUGUUAAAAUGCCAAAGAAAAGCUUCUCUGAAAUGUAAACAAAACCAAAAUGACCAUACCUUAAAACAGCACAUUUCAACAGGAGUUGAAGUGUUCCUCCCUUCUGUUUUCUCAAACCGAAGUGCUGACAAAAUCAGUAUGUUUUCUGAAGUGUUUCAUUUUGAUCAGAUUUGCAUGUUUUGGUGAAAUAUGGAUCCAGUGAAGCGAUCCUGGCUGGCUGAAUGUGUUGUUUCUUUUGGUUUAUGGCAUCUGCGAGCCUAUCAAAACUGUCCCAGUCUUCCAUGAAUGGAGAAAUGAUUCCAGUUAAGUCAAAAAGAAAGAAAGAGAGAAAGAGAGAAAGAGAGAAAGAAAGAAA
Long non-coding RNA from Gallus gallus (chicken), 2340 nucleotides. RefSeq lists it as uncharacterized. The transcript has 3 exons. Lineage: Eukaryota; Metazoa; Chordata; Aves; Galliformes; Phasianidae. The record is from RefSeq and is a predicted model, not a curated record.